UAGGGAAUCUUCGGCAAUGGACGAAAGUCUGACCGAGCAACGCCGCGUGAGUGAAGAAGGUUUUCGGAUCGUAAAACUCUGUUGCUAGAGAAGAACAAGGACGUUAGUAACUGAACGUCCCCUGACGGUAUCUAACCAGAAAGCCACGGCUAACUACGUGCCAGCAGCCGCGGUAAUACGUAGGUGGCAAGCGUUGUCCGGACUUAUUGGGCGUAAAGCGAGCGCAGGCGGUUUCUUAAGUCUGAUGUGAAAGCCCCCGGCUCAACCGGGGAGGGUCAUUGGAAACUGGGAGACUUGAGUGCAGAAGAGGAGAGUGGAAUUCCAUGUGUAGCGGUGAAAUGCGUAAAUAUAUGGAGGAACACCAGUGGCGAAGGCGGCUCUCUGGUCUGUAACUGACGCUGAGGCUCGAAAGCGUGGGGAGCAAACAGG
RNAcentral lists this ribosomal RNA (429 nucleotides) under Gemmatimonadota bacterium. Its description in RNAcentral is "Gemmatimonadetes bacterium partial 16S ribosomal RNA". It matches the Rfam family "Bacterial small subunit ribosomal RNA", at positions 355 to 776 of the family's 1533-position model. The record is from RNAcentral. Lineage: Bacteria; Pseudomonadati; Gemmatimonadota.